GUCCCCAUCGUCUAGUCCGGUCCAGGACACCGCCCUUUCACGGCGGUAACACGAGUUCAAAUCUCGUUGGGGACG
RNAcentral lists this transfer RNA (75 nucleotides) under Candidatus Zixiibacteriota bacterium. Its description in RNAcentral is "tRNA-Glu". It matches the Rfam family "tRNA". Rfam says of the family: Transfer RNA (tRNA) molecules are approximately 80 nucleotides in length. Their secondary structure includes four short double-helical elements and three loops (D, anti-codon, and T loops). Further hydrogen bonds mediate the characteristic L-shaped molecular structure. tRNAs have two regions of fundamental functional importance: the anti-codon, which is responsible for specific mRNA codon recognition, and the 3' end, to which the tRNAs corresponding amino acid is attached (by aminoacyl-tRNA synthetases). tRNAs cope with the degeneracy of the genetic code in two manners: having more than one tRNA (with a specific anti-codon) for a particular amino acid; and 'wobble' base-pairing, i.e. permitting non-standard base-pairing at the 3rd anti-codon position. The record is from RNAcentral. Lineage: Bacteria; Pseudomonadati; Candidatus Zixiibacteriota.